UCUUUCAGCAUCAGUAGAACACGCCUGACUGCAAGACCACCUAUUCAAGACCUGCAGUUGUCUCAGGGGUGCCCUACUGAACCAGCAAGCAAAGACAUCAGGAUGCAUUACAGCUUUGAUUUUGCUCAACAAGUGCAUUAUCCUUCUGACCCUAUGCAGCCAGGUCCCAUCUACUUUUUAACUCCUCGCAAGUGUGGCUUGUUUGGUGUCUGCUGUGAAGGAAUGCCACAACAAGUCAACUACUUGAAUGAUGAAGGCAUGUCAUCCAGCAAAGGAAGCAGCGCAGUCAUCAACUACAUGCACCAGUUCUUCACCAACUACGGAGUUGGGGAAACACGUGUGGACCUGAAUUGUGAUAACUGCAGUGGCCAAAACAAGAACACGUUUGUGCUCUGGUAUUGUGCCUGGCGGACCAUGCACAAGCUCCACCACAGUCUGGACCUUAACUUCCUGAUCACAGGCCACACCAAGUUUGCUUGGUGCUUUGGCCUCAUCAAGCAGCGCUUCAGAAAGACCAGAGUGAAUACUUUGUCUGAGAUGGCUGGUGUUGUGAAAGACAGCACAGUGACAGGGGUCAACAUCCCACAGUUGUUUAGACUAGAUGAUGGUUCGGUGCUGGUGAAAAGCUAUGGCUGGCAACCACACCUGACUCCGUACUUCAGGCCGCUGCCACAGAUCAAGCAGUAGCAGCACUUCAACUUUGAUGCUCUGGAGCCUGGUGUUGUCGCCAAGGAGCGUUCAGUCAGGACCAGGUUUCAGCUGCUGCACAACGCUGACAUCCUUCCUCCCAUAGAUGGUCUGCCUGUACAAGCACCACCUGGACUGGACAAAUCUAGACAAACAUAUAUUUUUGAGAAGAUCAGGUAGUGUUGCGACAAAGAGGCUUUGGACAUCACAUGCCCUGCACCAAAGUCAAGGGCAGGACAGGAACAGGCUCUCCGAAUAUAGAUUCCCUUGUUCAUGCGUGGUUCGGACAGACCAGUCAUCAGCACUAUCUGCAGUACUUCUAUUCAAAUGACAAACACACACGCCAUACUUUGCUGCUACUAUUAUGUUUAUUAUCCUGCUGCUCAGCCACUACCCCUGACUGUAUGAAUACAAUUACCUCGUCUAUCACUAUCGUUAUUGAUCUUGUUUGUGUACAUACUGUAUAUUAUUUUAUUUAUAUCGACAUUAUCUAUUUCUGAUAUUGCUGCUAUGCAAGUAACAAUUUUUGUACUGUUUACACCUUCUCUGGCGAUCCGUCCACUUUGCAAGACUUAGCAAAAUAUUGAUAUAUAAAAUGAAUAUUGAUAUGUGUGGUUGUAACAUGAUUUUGUGACAUACCACACACUCACUAAACACAAAUGUUUUGUUUGUAAAUUAUGUCUGAGGGUUGGAGUGUGCCCCUGGCUACCCGUCAAUAAAAAAUAUAAAAAAUGGGCCUGUCUGGUUUAAAGAAUUUGAACUUUUGAUACUUAAGUACAUCUUAGCAAUUCCAAGUACUCAAGUAGUAUUUUAUUGGGUGACUUUUACUUUAGUCAUUUUCUAUUAAGGUAUCUUUACAUCUGGACACUUUCUGUUCACCUAGAAAUGUUCCUUAUUGUAGGCUACUACCACUUUUAGUCUUAAUCUUUACUACACUACUCAUUGUUUAGCACAUGACCUCACAUGUGAAUCCUUAAGCCAGCCCCACCCAUCUCUUUAAGAGGGUGUGAACAAUGCUGAAAGGGUGUAGACAAAGGAGAGCUCUCCAGUCAGUGCCAAAACAUUAAAA
Molecule: long non-coding RNA, 1756 nt
Filed under: Oncorhynchus kisutch (coho salmon)
Lineage: Eukaryota; Metazoa; Chordata; Actinopteri; Salmoniformes; Salmonidae
Description: lncRNA (ENSOKIG00005033409.1)
Source: RNAcentral